This is a long non-coding RNA of Marmota monax (woodchuck), 6209 nucleotides long. RefSeq lists it as uncharacterized. The record is from RefSeq and is a predicted model, not a curated record. The transcript has 2 exons. Lineage: Eukaryota; Metazoa; Chordata; Mammalia; Rodentia; Sciuridae.
UUGCCUCUCAUUUCCCCCAGGGCCACACUGGCUUGGUGACGCUCCAGUUGGUGCCUCUUCAAGCACCAUUCUUAGCAGAGUUGGCCUGGAUCUGCCCUGGGCCAGCUCCGCGGAGCUGGAAGCCCUGGCUGCUCCCAGGAGAGGCUUUCCAGAAGGAAGGGACUCGGACUGUGAUGGAAACCGCCAGGCGCUGGCUGGGGAGGGACGGUCCCCACGCCACCUCCCCGGGCCUCCAACGGGCAGCUCGGCACGCUGCAGGCUCUCUUCUGUGGGUCUUUAGGUCGCACAGGGAGGGCUGCACGGCGGAGCCAGGAUCACAGUAACUGCAGGCCGCUGUGGCUCUCUGGCGGCCGUGCCCGGUGGAGGCUGCCAGCUGGCCCUGCUAAUUACCUGUCGCCCAGGAUGGGGAGGGAGACAGAGCGGACACAGAGGCCCCGGCAGAAGGCACCAGACCAUGGCAGGCUGGCAUCUCUGGGGUCUGGGCUGCCCAGCCGGCCCCAGGGCACUGGCUGUGCUGUCGCAGGGAAUGACCUGGUGACACGUUGACCGGGCAUUGCCCCCUGGGGGACUGUAGAAAACCAGCUCAGAGAAAGAGCCUAGGGAUGGCGGUCUCAGAAGAAAUGGCGGUGAACACCACGGGCUGAAGGCCUCUGUGCCGGCUUGGAAUCUUCUCAAGAGUCGCAAAGGCACACCCAGAAUUUCCUACGCAAGAAGAUGGAGUCCACGUAUUGGCAGGAACGUCUCUGGAUUCUGGCGGGGUACGCCCCUCCACCUGACUUCCCCUCCUUCACCAAGUGGCCCUGAAAACGUUCACAUCUGAGCAAGUUCCCUGCCGGCCUGCUCCGCCAUCAUGGUGGGAGAGGUGGACAGGACUAGGCGGCCGGGGCAAGAUGGCCGGUGAGGCGGUCAGGGCAGGACAAGCAACGGGGAGAGGGUCUUCCCGUGAGGUCCGCGUCCUGCUUGACGGAAGUGCUCCGGGACCCAAGUGGGGACCCCAUCAGACAGACACUUCUGUACUUGUGCUCCUCAGAGGGGGACCCAACAGAAAAACUAAAGAAGACGCGUGGACACAGGGCACCAGUCAGUAAUAGUGAGGAGGGCGUGGACAGGGAGGAGGUGGGAAAGAGGAAAUUCCUGAGACCGAAAAGGCACAGGCCCAAACUCCCCCACUGGUUGCCCAGCUCGGGGGCCCUUCUCUUGGGACAAUUCUGUCCCUGUCACCUUGCAAUAAACCCCCUGCUGCUUGCUGCCUCUGAGUCCUGUUCCUCCACUCUUUGCUGAACAGAGACAACAAACCCAGCCCCUAGACGGUAUCAAUGGUCCCUGCACGGAUGGACGCAUCCUGUCUGUUACCUCUGGGGCAGCUCUGGGCUCAGACAGGCCAGGUAGGCAAGGAGAGGGACGCUGCACGUAGGGCCUGGGGGCAGACCCUCUGACCCAGCUGUGCACAGACCCGCCCCCUGUCCCCACGGGCCUCUGCGACUCAGGCUUGCUCAGCUGGGGUGUCCUGUUCUCUGAGCUGCGUGCGCGUGGACCACUCUCGCGGGAAUCCAGGAGCUGCCACAGGCCCACAAGCCUGCGACGCUCGGCAAAGCCGGGCAGGUUAGUCCAGAGCACAGGCGGACACGCUGGGGCUCCUGAGCUUCAGGGCCACCCACAUUCUGCCUCCGUGACCGCUCCUCAUAUGUACAUGGCUAAGGGCCAGCAGCAGCCCCCUCCACCUCCCAGAUGUCAGCAGCACCUGUGACGACCAGAAAUGUCUCCACACAUCCCCCGGGGGGACAAAAUUGCCUGUGGAUAGGAAUCACUGCGGUAAGCGCCAAACCCGGUGAUUCCUCUGUGGGCCUUCGUGAAGUCAAGGGCCCAACGCGAGUGUCACUUUAAAUUGUCUUUCUCUAAUUCCAAGGAAAAUUAAAUUUCCUCUUUGUGUGACUCCUUGGCACUUAGACAAUAAUGACUGUUACCAACAAUUGAGUCUUGCAUGAUGGGCUCUGGCUUCGUCCCAUUCUGGGCAUAAGGAGACUCGGGAUCUGAGUCAGCACAGGGCACGGAACCACCCACGACACAGAAUCAGACGCUGGGCGCCUCCUGUUCAUGUGACACUCCUGGAGUGGACCCUGGGCCUGAGGAGCACCCAGAGUCCUGCUCUCCUCUGGUGGCAGCUCCCCAAGGCCACCUGCACUCCUUGGCCGGGUCCCUUCCUUUGAGCAUCUGUUCUCCUCUCUGACCUCAGCUCCAUCCUUGACCCUCCUUCCUCUGACCCCGAUGCCCCUGUUACAAGGACAUCAGUGACUACUGUGGGUAUGGCCACAGCACCUCUCCAACUCAAGGCCCACGGUGUAGCCAGCCCUGCAAAGUCCUUUUACCAGGGGUGGCGACCUACGCAGAGUUGCCAGGGACCAGGAUAUGGAAAGCUGAGUUUCUCCAGUUCCAAAAUCUGCUGGCUCUAUGCACAGGGAUUUCAAGUUUUCUAAUACAGGUGCUUUACUCUUAAAACCAAACCAAAAUCAGCUCACUAUAGUGACGCAGCCACAUCCAUGUUUAUAGCAGCUCAAUUCACGGUAGACAAGCUAUGGAGCCUACCUAGGUGCCCUUCAACAGAUGCAUGAAUAAAGAAAAUGUGGGACGUAUACACAAUGGAAUAUUACUCGGCCUUAAAGAAGAAUGAAAUCAUGGCAUUUGCUGGUAAAUGGAUGGAACUGGAGCAUAUCAUGCUAAGCAAAAUAAGCCAAUUCCAAAAAACAAAAGGCCAAAUAUUCUGUUUGAUAUGCAGAUGCUAAUUCACAAUGGGGGGGUGGGAGACUAGAGAAAAAUAGGGAUACUUAGGAUUAGGCACAGGGGAAUGAACGGAGAGGGUAGGAAGGAUGGGGAAUGAAUCAGACCUUAUUACCCUACGUGCACACAGGACCACGCGGCCCGUGUAACUCUAUAUCACCUACAACCAGAAGAAUGAGAAGUUAUGCUCCAUUUACGUAACAACGAGUCAAAAUGCAUUCUACUGUCGUGGAAAACCAAUUAGAACACAUUUUAAAAAUUAAAAAGAAAAGACAAGCCAAGCCAAAGCCUGAUGCUGUAAUGGGUGCUGGCCGCGUCCUGCCCCACCUACUGACCAUCACCCCACAGCAAGCCCUCGGCUGCUAGUCAGGCCACAGCCCGUGCAGUCUGCCCGUCUCUCCCUGUCUGUAUCUCUCUUCUCCCUGGGCCAGCCAUGUGGGCACCUCCCCAUCUCCCAGGAGCUGACUGAGCGAUUGUGAUGCUGAGAUCUGCCAAGUGCCACUUCAUCAGGUGACCUCAGAGCCGUGCACCCAGUCCUCCCGAUGCUCUGGUGACCUCCGGCACUCCUCGCAGGCCCCCAGGCUCUGGAAGGGCGGUGACUCACGCCAGCAUGGCCCACAGUUCCCUCCGGCGGCCCCUGGAGGGUCAGGGUAGCAGGAUCCCACGCAGCCAGGACUGGAAAGGCAAGUCCCAGGGGACCGUGAAGCCACCAUCACCUCCCAGGGGUCCCUUCUGACGUCUGUGUGACAGGGAGCCUUACGUAAGGCAGGGUGGCACCGGCUGUGAACUUGAGCAGGGUCACACCGCCCGGCGGUGUGUUCACACACGUCUGGCCAGUGCUCCGCCCUGCGGAUUCCGGAGACGGGGGCCAGAAUGUGCACUGCUACAGCUGCGGCUGGUCCAGGGGCCAGGCUUUCAGAGUUCAAAGCCUUCCUUAUCAGUCGGAGAUUCAGGGGCAGAUGGACAUAGAUCUCCGAGAUGUUUGGACUUCAAAUAAGCCCAUAUCUGAAUGUGGAUUAGGCAACGAGGCAUCACGAGGAGUCCAGAGGAGGAGCUUCCAUGGAGAAGUCAGCAAACAAUUGACCUCAGCAAGGAUCAGCCUCUUCCUGCCACCUCCAUUAUGUUGCCUUUGCUCUCGGGGUUGCCUCUUCAGUAUUGCAGAAUGGCUGCUGCUGCUCCGGGUGUCAGGUGUGAACCCAAUAAUGUCUGCCCGAAGGAAAGAAGGAGGCUUUCCCUCAUGGAGGGGAGUCUCUCUGAGAGGUCCCCACUCAACACCCCCUUGAAUCUCAUUGAUGGGGUCACCACUUGCCCAGGCCUGGUCCCACUGUCAGGCAAGGCCACACUCAUGCCUGCUGGGGAGCUCUGACUCUCAGUACGCAGCACAGUGAACCGGAACUUGACCAGGGCUCUGCCAACCACAAGGAAGGUGGGACUCGGGGCGCUGGGGCUCUGGGUGCUGGGGCUCAGGGCACUGAGGCUCGGGCCUAGGCCUGGGUUUCGACACCGCCCUGAUUUACCGAGGAGACCGUGACCCGAUUGCUCCGUGUUCUGACUCUCAGGCGUGCGAGGUGGGGAGAUCAGGGGAGGCACCCCCUGAAGGCUGGGGGACACCUUUCCUGUGAGGAAAGGUCACGUGGUGUCGGGCACCAGGGCUGGGACAGGUUGCAGGGGACAGGGGCCUCAGGGUCUCUCAAGUCACGCACGGGGCUGAGGAUCAGGGGCUCUGGGGUCAAGUGGCCUGAGUUCCAGCCAGGCUGGCUGAGGGCCUGGCCUCAGCUGGGUCCGGCCUCGGCUACCCAUGUUUCAGAGUGACCCCCAUCAAUUCUGGGGCCACAGAGUCCAGCCUCUGGGCACCAGCGCUUGCAGGGCAGCGGAGGCCAGGCCAGAAGGGAUCCUCAGGGUGCCGAGGAGGCUCUGCCGUCCCAUCUCUGGCUGGCAGCCGUGCGGGGGCCUCUGCCCCUUCCUCCCACUUUUCCACACCGGUCCCUCCCGCUGUCCUCCUGGGGCUCCAGCGCACCUCACGAGGUGGCCAGAAGAACCAACAGUCCAGUCGUCACAGGGCAGGACGGGCAGGAGCAAGGACGGGGACAGAAGCCCCUUGGUGUGGGAGAGGCGGGUGGGAGGCAGCCGCACCAUCCAUCCCAGGCCACCCAUGCCGUCCAGCCACAUGGAUCCUGCUGGGGGACCCUGGGCCUGUGGCCUCUGCUCCCUGGGCAACCUCAGCCUGAGUCUCCUCUCCCUCCCCACCUCAGAUGCCCCCUCGUCCUUCGCGUCUCUUCACACCUCCCGCAGGACAGCACACUGAGCUGCCUACGCCCACUCCCAGGUCCCCCGUCUGCGUCCUUGGGGUCUGUUUCCCAUUCAUAGCACUGACCACAACUGGUGACCACUUAGUCUGUUAAUUUACUUCAUUUCCCCUCCGGCCUCUUGAGGGCCGGCGUGGACUGCCCGAGGCGUCCUGGGGACAGCGCCUGCGUCCACACCCAGAGUGCGUCCACGUCUCGUGGGCAGCUCACCCGCACAGGCCGAGGGGCUCCCUGCGUAGCUUCAGCACACCUAGUGACCGCCGCUCCCCGUGAGGCCAGGGGUGGGGCCUGCCGCUCGGGCUGUCUUGGCCGUGCUGGGGACGUCCUGUGUCUGUGUUCCUGGACUGGGCGUGCUGAGCCCAUGGUAGCCCCGUGUCCUCGGGGAAAAUCACGUCGCCUCUGUGGGCUCCAUUCCCUGCAGAAGACACUGGCAGAGCCCUGGGCCAGGGCCGGGGAGAUGUGGACAGUGUCCAGGGCCACGUGUGGCCACAUGCCGGGCUGCACCUGUUGCUGUUCACCUCCCCUGGGCUAAUUUAGGAGGCGCAUAGUCAGGGGACUGGGAAAGAGAGCAGGCGCCGGCCUGCCCAGGGCCAGCCCUCAGCCCGUCAGCUGCCAGCGCGGUGGAGAGCAUCUCAGUGGAGAGCAGCGUCCUCCGGGGAAAUGCACGUGACCACCCAGGCCGGCUCUGCCAUGAUCACGUGCUUAGCACCAGCUGCAUCCUGCCGGGCAGCCCGUGUGUGCGCCUGUGUGCGGGGAAACCCGCCCGGCCUGCCCCAUGGGCCAGGGCUGGCAGGGCCCCUGCUCUGCCCCCCACCACCCACCCUCGCGCAGGAGAGAGGAAGAGCCCUCGGCCAGCAACGGCACUGUGAUGGGCGGGGACUGUGGUUGAGCUGGAGGUGGACACAGCAGACCCCAGCGCUGACCACCUCACACUCUGCUCUCACACUUGAAAUGCAUCCUGCUGCCCACGUCCCUCCCGGGCUCCUUCCCAUCUGUGUGCCCCCCGCCCUGAAUGGCACAUGUCCAGCUCUCGGGGUGACGGGCUGUGUUCUCGAUUUCUCUAAAAUGAGCAGAAAAUCAAUAAUCAAUGAACAGAGAAUCAAUAAUCAAUGAGCAGAGAAUCAAUAA